This 131-nucleotide ribosomal RNA is filed under the name Sordariomycetidae sp. RNAcentral's name for it is "partial small subunit ribosomal RNA". It matches the Rfam family "Eukaryotic small subunit ribosomal RNA", at positions 1651 to 1779 of the family's 1831-position model. The record is from RNAcentral. Lineage: Eukaryota; Fungi; Ascomycota; Sordariomycetes.
CCCUGCCCUUUGUACACACCGCCCGUCGCUACUACCGAUUGAAUGGCUCAGUGAGGCUUUCGGACUGGCCCAGAGAGGUCGGCAACGACCACUCAGGGCCGGAAAGUUAUCCAAACUCGGUCAUUUAGAGG